UGCGGCCUACUCCGGUUGAUCCUGCCGGACCCGACCGCUAUCGGGGUGAGACUAAGCCAUGCGAGCCGAACGCCUCCAGGCCAGGGUGGAGGCGUGGCGCACGGCUGAGUAACACGUGGCUAACUUACCCUUAGGACGGGGAUAACCCCGGGAAACUGGGGCUAAUCCCCGAUAGGCAAGGGGGCCUGGAAUGGUCCCUUGCCGAAAGGGGGCUGAGACCAUGCUUCUCAGCUUCCGCCUAAGGAUAGGGCUGCGGCCCAUCAGGUUGUUGGCGGGGUAACGGCCCGCCAAGCCGAUAACGGGUAGGGGCCGUGAGAGCGGGAGCCCCCAGAUGGGCACUGAGACAAGGGCCCAGGCCCUACGGGGCGCAGCAGGCGCGAAACCUCCGCA
RNAcentral lists this ribosomal RNA (390 nucleotides) under Thermoprotei archaeon. RNAcentral describes it as "bacterial SSU rRNA". It matches the Rfam family "Archaeal small subunit ribosomal RNA", at positions 1 to 354 of the family's 1478-position model. The record is from RNAcentral. Lineage: Archaea; Thermoproteati; Thermoproteota; Thermoprotei.